This 301-nucleotide ribosomal RNA is filed under the name uncultured bacterium. Its description in RNAcentral is "partial 16S ribosomal RNA". It matches the Rfam family "Bacterial small subunit ribosomal RNA", at positions 509 to 807 of the family's 1533-position model. The record is from RNAcentral.
CAGUCGCCACGGUAAUACGAAGGGGGCUAGCGUUGCUCGGAAUGACUGGGCGUAAAGGGCGCGUAGGCGGUUCGUACAGUUGGAUGUGAAAUUCCUGGGCUUAACCUGGGGACUGCAUUCAAUACGUGCGGGCUUGAGUGUGGAAGAGGGUUGUGGAAUUCCCAGUGUAGAGGUGAAAUUCGUAGAUAUUGGGAAGAACACCGGUGGCGAAGGCGGCAACCUGGUCCAUAACUGACGCUGAGGCGCGAAAGCGUGGGGAGCAAACAGGAUUAGAUACCCCAGUAGUCCCUGUCUCUUAUAC